Molecule: ribosomal RNA, 264 nt
Filed under: uncultured bacterium
Lineage: Bacteria
Description: partial 16S ribosomal RNA
Rfam family: Bacterial small subunit ribosomal RNA
Source: RNAcentral
GUCCAUGCCGUAAACGUUGGGAACUAGAUGUAGGGGCCAUUCCACGGUUUCUGUGUCGCAGCUAACGCAUUAAGUUCCCCGCCUGGGGAGUACGGCCGCAAGGCUAAAACUCAAAGGAAUUGACGGGGGCCCGCACAAGCGGCGGAGCAUGCGGAUUAAUUCGAUGCAACGCGAAGAACCUUACCAAGGCUUGACAUAUACGAGAACGGGCUAGAAAUAGUCAACUCUUUGGACACUCGUAAACAGGUGGUGCAUGGUUGUCGU